This 225-nucleotide unclassified non-coding RNA is filed under the name Mortierella sp. RNAcentral describes it as "partial internal transcribed spacer region". The stretch from base 1 to 46 matches the Rfam family "Eukaryotic small subunit ribosomal RNA", at positions 1786 to 1831 of the family's 1831-position model. Lineage: Eukaryota; Fungi; Mortierellomycota; Mortierellomycetes; Mortierellales; Mortierellaceae. The record is from RNAcentral.
AAGUCGUAACAAGGUUUCCGUAGGUGAACCUGCGGAAGGAUCAUUUACAAUAAGUGUUUAUGGCACUUUCAAAUCCAUACCCACCUUGUGUGCAAUGUAUAAGAGUCCUUUCCAACUCGGAUUAGACUUGAUUUUUCUCUCACACGUCUUCAAUUGCAAGUCUAAGCUUUCAGAGUAAUCAAAAAAACUCGAAUACAACUUUCAACAACGGAUCUCUUGGUUCUC